RNAcentral lists this ribosomal RNA (762 nucleotides) under uncultured soil bacterium. Its description in RNAcentral is "bacterial SSU rRNA". It matches the Rfam family "Bacterial small subunit ribosomal RNA", at positions 30 to 772 of the family's 1533-position model. The record is from RNAcentral.
CGAACGCUGGCGGCGUGGAUAAGACAUGCAAGUCGAACGGGAUUAUUUUUGUAGCAAUACAGAAAUAAUUCAGUGGCGAACGGGUGCGUAACACGUGGGCAAUCUGCCGAAAAGUGAGGGAUAGCUCGCCGAAAGGCGAAUUAAUACCGCAUGUGGUGAGGGACGACAUCUUCCUGAAUCCAAAGCCGGGGCAACCUGGCGCUUUUUGAGGAGCCCGCGGCCUAUCAGCUAGUUGGUGAGGUAACGGCCCACCAAGGCUUUGACGGGUAGCUGGUCUGAGAGGACGACCAGUCACACUGGAACUGAGACACGGUCCAGACACCUACGGGUGGCAGCAGUCGAGAAUUUUUCUCAAUGGGGGCAACCCUGAAGGAGCGACGCCGCGUGGAGGAUGAAGGCUUUCGGGUUGUAAACUCCUGUCAUUUGAGAACAAGUGCCAACAAGUAACUACUGUUGGCUUGAUAGUAUCAGAAGAGGAAGGGACGGCUAACUCUGUGCCAGCAGCCGCGGUAAUACAGAGGUCCCAAGCGUUGUUCGGAUUCAUUGGGCGUAAAGGGUGCGUAGGUGGCGCCGUAAGUCGGGUGUGAAAUUUCGGAGCUUAACUCCGAAACUGCAUUCGAUACUGCGGUGCUUGAGGACUGGAGAGGAGACUGGAAUUCAUGGUGUAGCAGUGAAAUGCGUAGAGAUCAUGAGGAAGACCAGUGGCGAAGGCGGGUCUCUGGACAGUUCCUGACACUGAGGCACGAAGGCCAGGGGAGCAAA